AUACAGCUGUGGAAAGCAUGGAUUUAGCUGGUGCUGUCAGUUUUUAUGGCAUGGAAUCUAAUGCCCCUCUCCAUUCCUGCAGGCAUCUCCAAGAUGAUGAGUUAUUAUAUGGACACAACCAUCGGCAAUGCAGCUCCUUAUCCUUUGGCUUGGCCUGGAAUGAUGAAGCCGGGGCUGCCCGGGCCCUGCGAGGAUCCCUGGGGGACGUGUGGCUUCCCGGCCUCCUGCUGCCC
This 233-nucleotide long non-coding RNA is filed under the name Lonchura striata (white-rumped munia). RNAcentral's name for it is "domestica (Bengalese finch) lncRNA (ENSLSDG00000000985.1)". Lineage: Eukaryota; Metazoa; Chordata; Aves; Passeriformes; Estrildidae. The record is from RNAcentral.